Molecule: ribosomal RNA, 468 nt
Filed under: uncultured bacterium
Lineage: Bacteria
Description: partial 16S ribosomal RNA
Rfam family: Bacterial small subunit ribosomal RNA
Source: RNAcentral
GACGAACGCUGGCGGCGUGCUUAACACAUGCAAGUCGAACGGAAAGGCCCUGCUUUUGUGGGGUGCUCGAGUGGCGAACGGGUGAGUAACACGUGAGUAACCUGCCCUUGACUUUGGGAUAACUUCAGGAAACUGGGGCUAAUACCGGAUAGGAGCUCCUGCCGCAUGGUGGGGGUUGGAAAGUUUCGGCGGUUGGGGAUGGACUCGCGGCUUAUCAGCUUGUUGGUGGGGUAGUGGCUUACCAAGGCUUUGACGGGUAGCCGGCCUGAGAGGGUGACCAGCCACAUUGGGACUGAGAUACGGCCCAGACUCCUACGGGAGGCAGCAGUGGGGAAUAUUGCACAAUGGGCGGAAGCCUGAUGCAGCAACGCCGCGUGCGGGAUGACGGCCUUCGGGUUGUAAACCGCCUUCGCCUGUGACGAAGCGUGAGUGACGGUAAUGGGUAAAGAAGCACCGGCUAACUACGUG